UUGUAAGCAAUUUUUUUUUACUACCCUUUGCUCCCCCAUUUUUGCAAACUUAGAAUCGCCUAACUAAGAGAAUAGUGCUUAACUUAAUAUGUAGCAGCCCUUCGUGACCAGAGUGACCAGUGUCAUAGUUAAACCUUUUGGGUUCAUAACAUAAAUUAUUGUCUGUUAUUGUAUUUCCAUUUUUGUAUUAUGUUAACUUGACAUGAAAGUUAUAUAAUGUAACUAAUGCCUAUCUACAAUUUUAUGAAUAACAGACACUGUGAGAAGAGGAAGGCGGCCGAGGUCAAUGACAGUACUGAAUCUUUUUCUUGUGGACCGAAUGGACUGCAGUAGAGUUCCCACAGAUGGCCAAAAAUCUCGCUUAACCCAAGCUGGUCUUGGUUUUGCGAGGAACAAGUUGGUCAACCUAACCUGGGACUUGCGUGAAUUUUAUGCAUUUGUGUGUGGGAGCUUUCCAUCUGUGAACCUGAACUUAAUAGGUUUCACUGUGGCCAAGGCAAAUAAACAACGAAGGUUGAUGACACUUCAUGCCAACUCUUUGAAGGAUCUGAAGCGUCAGUUACGAAAAAGCCAUCUUUAUAUAAUUCCACGUGGAAACCUCUUAUCUGGAAGUCAGAUGUCUGCAGCAGUGGUCAACCCCUCCACCACACCUGCUCAGUCCAGCCAAAUGUCUGCAGCAGUGGUCAACCCCUCCACCACACCUGCUCAGUCCAGCCAAAUGUCUGCAGCAGUGGUCAACCCCUCCACCACACCUGCUCAGUCCAGCCAAAUGUCAGCAGCAGCAUUAAUGGAAAAUUCAUUAGAGAGAGACAUGUCAUUUCAGCUGGAGACGUUGGACCCACUAGAGUGGCAGAAUGCAGGAACGCCUGAUGUGUUUUACAAAAUUCCAACAAGCUCAGCAGUGGAUGCCUCUCAAAUUGUAGACAGAAAUGACUUCAUGCUGGCUGAAAAUGAUGAAGAUAAUGACAGCAGUGAUCAUGACAGCAGUGGUCAUGACACAAAUGACGAAAAUAAUUUCACCACAGUAAGUCUGCUUCAUGCUAUGGAUGAAGAUCUUAAUCUUGCCACAGUCCUCAAAUGUUUCCAGAAACAACACUUCUGCCAAGAUGAAGAGGACAGCCAAAGCAGCUCUUCCGACUCUGGCAAUGACCUCCAUGUUAUUGUCCAUAGGAGGAAAGUCCUAUACAGUGCUUUUAAAGCAAUGUCAUCACCAUCAUUCUGCUGGAAGAAAUCUCCAAAGGUGGAAUUUGUUGGGGAGGAAGGAGCAGAUUACGGGGGGCCACAGAGAGAGUUUUUCCGACUCUUGAUGCAGGAUGUGCAACAGUCCGGUGUGUUUGAGGGUCCAUCUAAGGAGCUACUGUUCACCUACCAUCAGGGCCAGGAACAAAAGUACCUAAAGAGUUGCAAACAUCAUCAAACAAUUCACCGAUGGAUUGAACUCAUGGGGGAAUUUGUGGGAUGUGGUGAAAGCCAACUAUGCUGCCUUCCUGCCAGUCUUCACCGACAUGUCCGUCCCUCUUACUCGCCAAUCCCUCAAGUCACUCUUCAGUGUCAACUACAGUACCAGGGGCACCAACCGACGAGAGCAGGAAGAGGACACCAUCUUCAGCUGGGAGGUGUUUCUCAAGAUGGUAGAAGACAGUCAAGCAGAUGUCACUUUUGAGGACAUCCUCAUAUUCAUCACCUCAGCAGACAUGAUUCCUCCACUUGGAUUCCAGGAACAAGGCAGGUCCCGAAUGCCAUAUGCAUCCACUUGCGCACUGACC
RNA transcript from Hypomesus transpacificus, 1766 nucleotides. RefSeq lists it as uncharacterized. The record is from RefSeq and is a predicted model, not a curated record. NCBI's taxonomy places the organism in Eukaryota, Metazoa, Chordata, Actinopteri, Osmeriformes, Osmeridae. The transcript has 14 exons.